RNAcentral lists this transfer RNA (71 nucleotides) under Loxodonta africana (African savanna elephant). It matches the Rfam family "tRNA". From Rfam's summary of the family: Transfer RNA (tRNA) molecules are approximately 80 nucleotides in length. Their secondary structure includes four short double-helical elements and three loops (D, anti-codon, and T loops). Further hydrogen bonds mediate the characteristic L-shaped molecular structure. tRNAs have two regions of fundamental functional importance: the anti-codon, which is responsible for specific mRNA codon recognition, and the 3' end, to which the tRNAs corresponding amino acid is attached (by aminoacyl-tRNA synthetases). tRNAs cope with the degeneracy of the genetic code in two manners: having more than one tRNA (with a specific anti-codon) for a particular amino acid; and 'wobble' base-pairing, i.e. permitting non-standard base-pairing at the 3rd anti-codon position. The record is from Rfam by way of RNAcentral. Lineage: Eukaryota; Metazoa; Chordata; Mammalia; Proboscidea; Elephantidae.
GCAUUGGUGGUUCCGUGGUAGAAUUCUUGCCUUCCACGUGGGAGACUCAGGUUUGAUUCCAGGCCGAUGCA